CCGCCAAUAAACACCAAAGAAGAAGAAGAAGAAGAAGAAGAAGAACUACGCAGAUAGCAAGAGAAAGCGGAGCUCGCUGGAUUUGAUACGUUUUAUGUCCUAGAAAACAUUUGUACAGGUCACACUGAACAGCAGAUUGUUGUCUCAAGCCAGUGCUGAUCAAUGACAGUUUAUCUGCAGUAUGAGAGAGAAGAGAGGAAAGAUGAGUCUCUCACAGAAACAGAGUGUAAGAUCAGGAUCACAUGUGUCUGUGAAGAGUGAGCGGUCAAAGGAAUGGUGAAGGACCGAACUUCAGUGAGAAAAAAAACAUCUAUCAAAAGUGUAAGAUCAGGAUCACAUGUGUCCAGCUCUGUGUCU
Molecule: long non-coding RNA, 357 nt
Organism: Cyprinus carpio (common carp)
Lineage: Eukaryota; Metazoa; Chordata; Actinopteri; Cypriniformes; Cyprinidae
Exons: 4
Source: RefSeq, a predicted model, not a curated record